RNAcentral lists this long non-coding RNA (2517 nucleotides) under Cinara cedri. The record is from RNAcentral. Lineage: Eukaryota; Metazoa; Arthropoda; Insecta; Hemiptera; Aphididae.
GGUAGUUAAUAAUAAUCUGUUACACCUGCAGUGACAUCGGACAUGGCAUUCAUAACGUAAGUAUUUGAACAUUUUUUAAAUUAAUAAGUACCUAUUUGAAUAGUUAUCUACAAAUCCUAUAAUUAAGUUAUAUAUAGUAUAGGAUAUAGUAUAUCGUAAUUUUUUUUGAGUAGAUAUUUUUAAUCUUUGUAAUCAUAUAUCUAUGGAAAAAUAUAUGUUCCUUUUAAUAUAUUGUAUUGAUUGGAUACCUGUUUAUUGUGCAAUCUAUGUGUUUAGAAGGUAGGUAUUAUAAUCAUCACUAUCGAAUCAUGUCGAAAUUAUUUAACAUAGUCCAUGGAUCGAAUAAUUUGAUGUAAAUUUAUGAUACUUACCUUUAUCUGUGUCUGUGUGAUAAACAAUAAAUAAAUAACUAUAUCCAUAGGUAGUGGCGUAGCCAGGUGGAAAUUGUGUUUUAACUCCCCCCCUUCAUUGCCUUUUUUUUAGCUAUAGUUAAGGUUAAGAAGAUGGUUAUAUUAUAUUGUAAAAUAAUAAACACAGAAAAUGCUGACGUUCGUAAAUAUUGUUUAUCGGAACUGAACUCAGAAAUGUAUAUAGCCAGGUAAUAUACACUUGGUUAUAUUAUAUCUGUGUAUUAUUAUAAUACAAAUAAUAUUAAACACUUCUAAUAUACUAAAAAAAAAGUAAAUGAAUGAACUUGAAUAACCAAAUAAAAUAUUUCAAGUUACCUUUGAAUUGAAAUUGAAUUAUCGUCAAUUCUAAUUAUUAAUGAUGACCACCCGGACACGUCCUACUGCAGGUAUUUUGUUAUUUUACCUCCAUGGCCUUAUAUUGUUAUACGUAAUGGUGAUGCUUAUUGCCUAAUGGGAUACAUAAUGGUCGAUGUGGAAUAGGAAAUAAUUGUUAUAGUAAAUAACACCUACCUAAUAAUAAUAAUAUAUUAAAAAAUGUCAAUAACAAUAACCACUGAUCGACCAUCAUUUGUGUAAUAAAUGUAAACAAAACAAAAAUAUAGCCCAUAUGUAUUACAGAUCUCUUCCUAAAAUAAUAAUUUACUGUAAUGUAUAUAUCUAUACAUUUAUGUGAAUAUUAUUUUUCCAAAACCAAAUCAUGUGAAGAAUGUGAAGUAAGCAGGUGUUGCUUAUAUAUUAUAGCAUUGGCGGAUAACGAAUUGUUUUGAAUCGCUGUUGCUGUUGUUUUACAGGUAAGUAAAUAUGUGUGUUUGCUCCAUGGUAAUAAUAAUAAUUAUUUUUUUAUUAUUAAAGGAGCCAUAAUAAUGUAUUAAGCAUGUCUAUAUUACUAUAUUAUUUUGCAAUAAAUUAUUAUUAAUCACAAAUAUAAUUACGAAGCUACUCAGCAUUUUAUAUUUUUAUACUGGAGACUGGUUCAAAUUAUAAUUAAUUAUAAUUCUCCUUGUAUGUGUGUAUAAUAUAUAAUACUAUGUGAAUAUUGUUUUUUCCAAAAUCAUAAACCAUUUGAAAUAAAUAGGUGUUGUUUAUAAGUUAUAACAUUGGUGGAUAAUGAAUUGUUUUAAACUGUUGCGAUGGUUUUGUAGGUAAGUCGUAAAUAUGUGUGUACCGCCAUGGUAAUAAUAAUAAUUAUUAUUAUUUUAUUGUUAAUGUUUAUUUCAAAAAAUAAUGCUCGUCUGGUACUAUAAAAUAAUAUGUGUCUAUCAAUGUAUUAAGCAUGUCUAUUAUUAAGUAUAUUAUCUUGCAGUAAAUUAUUAUUUAGCAAGAAUAUUAUUUUAAAGGUACCCCAGAAUAUUUUAUUUUUGUACUGGAGACUGAGUCAAAUAAUAAUUAUAUUAUGUGAAUAUUGUUUUUUCUAAAACCAUAAACCAUUUGAAAUAAAUAGGUGUUGUUUAUAAGUUAUACCAUUGGUGGAUAAUGAAUUGUUUUAAACUGUUGCGAUGGUUUUGUAAGGUAAGUCGUAAAUAUGUGUGUACCGCCAUGGUAAUAAUAAUAAUUGUUUUUAUUUUAUUAUUAGUGUUUAUUUCAAAGAAUAAUGCUCGUUUGGUGUCAUAAAAUAAUAUGUGUCUAUUAAUGUAUUAAGCAUGUCUAUUAUUAAGUAUAUUAUCUUGCAGUAAAUUUUUAUUUAGCACGAAUAUUAUUUCGAAGGUACCCCAGAAUAUUUUAUUUUUGUGCUGGAGACUGGUUCAAAUAAUAAUAAUUCUAAUCUGAAAAUGCACAAUGUUUUUGUACGUAAUAUAGUUUAUUUUCAAAUUGCAGGUGUUAAAAUAAAUAUUCAUGCGAAUAAAAUGUUCGCGUUUAAAAAAUUAAUAUAGGUAUACAUAAUAUUAUAUGCUGUAUGUGCACUGCAGGAAAACUUCACUCCGAGCAUAAAUAUAGGGUACCUAUUCAUAAUUUAUUUAUUUAUACAUAUGUACCUACCCGUCUAUAUAUUGUAUCGAUAUAUAUGUUUCAAUGUUAACACGUAACGUGCAAAGUAUACAAUUUUUGUCAAUCGUCUACAAUGCCCGGUCCUUAAAUAAAAUGUCCAUCGUAUAUUAUUAUUGGGUAC